RNAcentral lists this ribosomal RNA (389 nucleotides) under uncultured bacterium. Its description in RNAcentral is "bacterial SSU rRNA". It matches the Rfam family "Bacterial small subunit ribosomal RNA", at positions 28 to 420 of the family's 1533-position model. The record is from RNAcentral.
GACGAACGCUGGCGGCGUGCUUAACACAUGCAAGUCGAGCGGUAAGGCCCUUUCGGGGGUACACGAGCGGCGAACGGGUGAGUAACACGUGGGUGACCUGCCCUUAGCUCUGGGAUAAGCCUGGGAAACUGGGUCUAAUACCGGAUAUGACUCCAUGACGCAUGUUGUGGGGUGAAAGCCUUGUGCGGCUAGGGAUGGGCCCGCGGCCUAUCAGCUUGUUGGUGGGGUGAUGGCCACCAAGGCGACGACGGGUAGCCGGCCUGAGAGGGCGACCGGCCACACUGGGACUGAGACACGGCCCAGACUCCUACGGGAGGCAGCAGUGGGGAAUCUUGCGCAAUGGGCGAAAGCCUGACGCAGCGACGCCGCGUGAGGGAUGACGGCCUCGG